This 31-nucleotide small RNA is filed under the name Bombyx mori (domestic silkworm). RNAcentral describes it as "ovarian small RNA-22483". The record is from RNAcentral. Lineage: Eukaryota; Metazoa; Arthropoda; Insecta; Lepidoptera; Bombycidae.
UAGCUAUUCAGUCGCUCGCCAAUUCUGGCAA